Molecule: ribosomal RNA, 467 nt
Filed under: uncultured bacterium
Lineage: Bacteria
Description: partial 16S ribosomal RNA
Rfam family: Bacterial small subunit ribosomal RNA
Source: RNAcentral
GAUGAACGCUGGCGGCGUGCUUAACACAUGCAAGUCCAACGGUGAAGCAGAGCUUGCUCUGUGGAUCAGUGGCGAACGGGUGAGUAACACGUGAGCAACCUGCCCCUGACUCUGGGAUAAGCGCUGGAAACGGCGUCUAAUACUGGAUAUGCGCUGCGACCGCAUGGUCAGCAGUUGGAAAGAUUUUUCGGUCUGGGAUGGUCUCACGGCCUAUCAGCUUGUUGGUGAGGUAAUGGCUCACCAAGGCGUCGACGGGUAGCCGGCCUGAGAGGGUGACCGGCCACCAUAGGCCUGAGAGACGCACCAGUGUCGUACGGUAGGCAGCAGGGGCGAAUCUUGCCCAAUGGGCCCAAGUCUGAUGCAGAAGCGCCGCGUGAGGGAUGACGGCCUUCGGGUUAUAAACCUCUUUUAGCAGAGAAGCAGCGAAAGUGACGGUACCUGAAGAAAAAGCGCCGGCUAACUACGUG